UUUGUUCAUACUCUAUUCUUUUCUGUUAUGUCUUACUUCAACUUAAGCUCAAACUUAAUUAUUAUUCAAAAAAUUAUUGUCAUCAUCUAAAACAUUUCAAGAUCAACGUGCACCCCAUUCCAACUCUUAAUUUUCUCUUUCAUUUUUCUAUUGCAAUUUGAUUCUCUAUUUUGACCAUUUUGUUGUUUGCAUUUUAGUUCUUAUCUCUUUCUCUUCCACCUCAUUUAUCCACAAAAAUUAGAGACAGUGUCACCAGAAAAAAAAGAAGAAAAAAAAUAUACCCUUUUGUUUAUUUACCUUGGAGAAUGUAAAAAGGUGAUUUAUUUAUUUAUUUAUAUAACGGUAAUUUGGAAAUGAGUGGUAGUUAAAAUACUUGGCUAGAACUAAAAGUUCUUACAGAUAGAUUUUCCGGGAAAAUUUUCAUGUGGGGUUUCUUGUUUGGAGGUCAACUUGCUACUGAGGAGUUAAGAAGAUUCCAGAAGCAUUUAUAGAA
RNAcentral lists this long non-coding RNA (493 nucleotides) under Trifolium pratense (red clover). RNAcentral describes it as "long non-coding RNA (TPRA_LNC008405)". Lineage: Eukaryota; Viridiplantae; Streptophyta; Magnoliopsida; Fabales; Fabaceae. The record is from RNAcentral.